UACGGGGGGUGCAAGCGUUAUUCGGAAUUAUUGGGCGUAAAGCGAGUGUAGGCGGCCAUUUAAGUCAGAUGUGAAAGCCCGGGGCUCAACCCCGGAAGUGCAUUUGAAACUGGAUGGCUUGAGUAUGGGAGAGGAAAGUGGAAUUCCUGGUGUAGAGGUGAAAUUCGUAGAUAUCAGGAGGAACACCGGUGGCGAAGGCGACUUUCUGGACCAAUACUGACGCUCAGACUCGAAGGCGUGGGUAGCAAACAGG
Molecule: ribosomal RNA, 253 nt
Filed under: uncultured bacterium
Lineage: Bacteria
Description: partial 16S ribosomal RNA
Rfam family: Bacterial small subunit ribosomal RNA
Source: RNAcentral